UUAAGCGACUAAGCGUACACGGUGGAUGCCCUGGCAGUCAGAGGCGAUGAAGGACGUGCUAAUCUGCGAUAAGCGUCGGUAAGGUGAUAUGAACCGUUAUAACCGGCGAUUUCCGAAUGGGGAAACCCAGUGUGUUUCGACACACUAUCAUUAACUGAAUCCAUAGGUUAAUGAGGCGAACCGGGGGAACUGAAACAUCUAAGUACCCCGAGGAAAAGAAAUCAACCGAGAUUCCCCCAGUAGCGGCGAGCGAACGGGGAGGAGCCCAGAGCCUGAAUCAGUGUGUGUGUUAGUGGAAGCGUCUGGAAAGGCGCGCGAUACAGGGUGACAGCCCCGUACACAAAAAUGCACAUGCUGUGAGCUCGAUGAGUAGGGCGGGACACGUGGUAUCCUGUCUGAAUAUGGGGGGACCAUCCUCCAAGGCUAAAUACUCCUGACUGACCGAUAGUGAACCAGUACCGUGAGGGAAAGGCGAAAAGAACCCCGGCGAGGGGAGUGAAAAAGAACCUGAAACCGUGUACGUACAAGCAGUGGGAGCACAGAGCAAUCUGUGUGACUGCGUACCUUUUGUAUAAUGGGUCAGCGACUUAUAUUCUGUAGCAAGGUUAACCGAAUAGGGGAGCCGAAGGGAAACCGAGUCUUAACUGGGCGUUAAGUUGCAGGGUAUAGACCCGAAACCCGGUGAUCUAGCCAUGGGCAGGUUGAAGGUUGGGUAACACUAACUGGAGGACCGAACCGACUAAUGUUGAAAAAUUAGCGGAUGACUUGUGGCUGGGGGUGAAAGGCCAAUCAAACCGGGAGAUAGCUGGUUCUCCCCGAAAGCUAUUUAGGUAGCGCCUCGUGAAUUCAUCUCCGGGGGUAGAGCACUGUUUCGGCAAGGGGGUCAUCCCGACUUACCAACCCGAUGCAAACUGCGAAUACCGGAGAAUGUUAUCACGGGAGACACACGGCGGGUGCUAACGUCCGUCGUGAAGAGGGAAACAACCCAGACCGCCAGCUAAGGUCCCAAAGU
RNAcentral lists this ribosomal RNA (1012 nucleotides) under Escherichia coli TW06591. RNAcentral describes it as "bacterial LSU rRNA". It matches the Rfam family "Bacterial large subunit ribosomal RNA", at positions 1 to 1053 of the family's 2925-position model. The record is from RNAcentral. Lineage: Bacteria; Pseudomonadati; Pseudomonadota; Gammaproteobacteria; Enterobacterales; Enterobacteriaceae.